GAAGUAAAAGUCGUAACAAGGUUUCCGUAGGUGAACCUGCGGAAGGAUCAUUAUUGAAAUAAAUCUGGUGAGUUGCUGCUGGUUCUUUAGGGAAUAUGUGCACACUUAUCAUCUUUAUAUCUCCACCUGUGCACCUUUUGUAGACCUGGAUCUCUCUCUGAAUGCUAGCCAUUCAGGAUUGAGGAUUGACUUUAUGUCUCUCCUUACAUUUUCAGGCCUAUGUUUCUUUAUAUACCCCAAUGUAUGUCAUAGAAUGUAAUCAACGGCCUUUGUGCCUAUAAACCUAUACAACUUUCAGCAACGGAUCUCUUGGCUCUCGCAUCGAUGAAGAACGCAGCGAAAUGCGAUAAGUAAUGUGAAUUGCAGAAUUCAGUGAAUCAUCGAAUCUUUGAACGCACCUUGCGCUCCUUGGUAUUCCGAGGAGCAUGCCUGUUUGAGUGUCAUUAAUAUAUCAACCUCUUCAGCUUUUGCUUGUUGAGUGUUGGAUGUGGGGGUCUUUUUUGCUGGUCUUCUCAGGUCAGCUCCCCUGAAAUGCAUUAGCGGAACAAUUUGUUGACCGUUCAUUGGUGUGAUAACUAUCUACGCUAUUGACGUGAAGCAGUUCAGCUUCUAACAGUCCAUUGAUUUGGACAAAUUUUCAUUAAUGUGACCUCAAAUCAGGUAGGACUACCCGCUGAACUUAAG
Molecule: ribosomal RNA, 684 nt
Filed under: Phlegmacium kuehneri
Lineage: Eukaryota; Fungi; Basidiomycota; Agaricomycetes; Agaricales; Cortinariaceae
Description: eukaryotic LSU rRNA
Rfam family: 5.8S ribosomal RNA (bases 290-443)
Source: RNAcentral